Molecule: ribosomal RNA, 253 nt
Filed under: uncultured bacterium
Lineage: Bacteria
Description: partial 16S ribosomal RNA
Rfam family: Bacterial small subunit ribosomal RNA
Source: RNAcentral
UACGUAGGGUGCGAGCGUUAAUCGGAAUUACUGGGCGUAAAGCGUGCGCAGGCGGUUUUGUAAGCCAGAUGUGAAAUUCCCGGGCUUAACCUGGGGAUGGCACUUGGGACUGCAAGGCUCGAGUGCGGCAGAGGAGACUGGAAUUCCUGGUGUAGCAGUGAAAUGCGUAGAUAUCAGGAGGAACACCGAUGGCGAAGGCAGGUCUCUGGGCUGACACUGACGCUCAUGCACGAAAGCGUGGGGAGCAAACAGG